UACGAAGGGGGCAAGCGUUGUCCGGAAUCAUUGGGCGUAAAGCGCGUGUAGGCGGUCCGGUAAGUCCGCUGUGAAAGUCGGGGGCUCAACCCUCGGAUGCCGGUGGAUACUGUCGGGCUUGAGUACGGAAGAGGCGAGUGGAAUUCCUGGUGUAGCGGUGAAAUGCGCAGAUAUCAGGAGGAACACCAAUGGCGAAGGCAGCUCGCUGGGACGUGACUGACGCUGAGACGCGAAAGCGUGGGGAGCAAACAGG
RNAcentral lists this ribosomal RNA (253 nucleotides) under uncultured bacterium. RNAcentral's name for it is "partial 16S ribosomal RNA". It matches the Rfam family "Bacterial small subunit ribosomal RNA", at positions 524 to 776 of the family's 1533-position model. The record is from RNAcentral.